CCCCCACCGCAGCCGCCGAGCAUCCAGAGAAAGGUCCGUCCGUUAACCUCACUCACUCCCACUGCCUGCUGCCUGGACUCCCGUUCAACAGGGAGAAGAAAGACAACAGUGGACGUGGUGGUGGUGGUGGUGGUAGGUCCUGCGGUCAUCCAAAGACGGUGCUGAAGAAAUAAGUGUUGCUAAGUGAAUCAGACGCCCAGACCGGACACCACUGUGGUAGCAAUCUGUCAAUCACAAGGCGUGCUUGAGAGGCAACACUGAAUCAUCCACAGAGCAGUUCCCCCAUACUACUCAAACUGACUACAUGUGAACUCUGAAUGUGUCCGUCUGCUCUGUUUUCAUGAGUGAACCAAACAUAGCAGGUCCAAACACAACA
Sebastes umbrosus (honeycomb rockfish) is the source of this 376-nucleotide long non-coding RNA. RefSeq lists it as uncharacterized. The transcript has 3 exons. Lineage: Eukaryota; Metazoa; Chordata; Actinopteri; Perciformes; Sebastidae. The record is from RefSeq and is a predicted model, not a curated record.